RNAcentral lists this long non-coding RNA (432 nucleotides) under Hordeum vulgare. Its description in RNAcentral is "long non-coding RNA (HVUL_LNC012266)". Lineage: Eukaryota; Viridiplantae; Streptophyta; Magnoliopsida; Poales; Poaceae. The record is from RNAcentral.
UUGUGCCCUGUGAUGUAUUAUAUGAAAUGCUCAAUGCACACGAUUAGUCCGCAGAGGUGUUGUCAUCAAUCACCAAAACUACUUAGAACAAAAUAUGCCCUAACAAAGAUGAGUAUAAGAUUUGGCUUACAGUCGCCACAUGCUAAAUUACAAUCCACACAAGCAUUCAUUAUUCAUACAUAAAACAAGGUCCUACUACGGACAAGAUAAACGACAAAACAUGUUAUCCCAUCAUGCUAGUCCCAUGAUCACGACCAUGCGCCUCUAGUCCUCGAGAUAAGUCACAUACAACCUGCCACUGUCUUCGUUGAACUCCCAUCUCAGCUGAUUAUCAUUGGGAACUCCUGCAUCUGUGGUACAUGUACCUUUGGGUGUUUGUAGUCAAAUGUGAGCCACGAGGACUGUCACACCCUGUUUUCACUUCCAUCUUUC